CAACCUGGAAGAUAUGUUUUGUUCCUAACCAUCUAUAAUCCAUUCUCUAUGAAGUGAAGCCUGGCUGCUGGUCUUCCUUUGGAAAUACACAGGGAAAGCAAACUACUUGAGUGUUUCUACUGUCCCCCGAGAUCUGCUUAUGAGUACAUGGGGACUGCGGUGGACCUUCUCUCCUGUUUAAAUAUACUUUGGAGGCUGGGGCAUGAAUCUUCAUUCACAAAAGGUAUCAACAGUAUGUCUGUGGAAGUUCCAUUAUUCUUGGGAGUUAUGCCCAGCAACACAAACCAAUCAUGUCCAGCAUGUACAUUGGAUCUGCUAACUUUACUUUAGGAUUCCUUGGAUUUCAAAAGUUCAUCAUGUUCAGGAAAGAAGACAUUUUAAUUGGUAAAUGAAGGAGAGAAAAAUUGCAAGGGAGGAGGUGUAUAGUUUACAUGGUGCAUUUUAAGUACUAUGACUAGGGUGAAGAAGGGAAUUUCACUUGGAUAACUGAGGCUUGGUUAACUGAGGAACAGAAACAACACAGCUCUGUGGUCUGUAUAAACAGAUGAUUAACAGAUGAUUAAUAGCUGGCCAUACCAAGAUUGAACCUGACCACCCCAUUUUGGAGUAUAGAAGCUAAAUUGGAGAAAGUUAAAUAUAGGAAUUUUAGCAGAGGGAAAUUUAUUUUAUCAGAGAUAGCACAUUCUGUUCAUAAGUCAAGGAAACAUAUACAUAGCAUUCUACAUAUUGUCCAGGACAAGAAGAAGCCAGUGGUGUUUUAUAAUUGAAAACCUCAGUGACAUCUCUUCAGAAUGUUUUCUAGACCUUUGAAAUUUUAAACUAAAAAAUCAUAACAUGUAUAUCACAGAGAGAAGACUUGAUAUUGGAAGAUAUGCAUACUUGUUUUAAAACUAUCAGAGAAUUUUGCUCAUCAGAAACUGCAAAAGAUACUGUUUGUACAACCCUGUGCAACACUAACCGGAGGUCAUAGAUACAGAAAAAGACAAACCUACCAAUGCAAAACAGAAGUAAUCCAUACUACAUGUUCAUAGCUUAUAUCUGAAGACUAAUCAUAAAAAUCAUUGCCUGUUUAAUAUAAUAUCUAUGAAGUUUUUAGAAUGAGAAGAUUUUUUUCCUGCAUAGACAGUGGUUAUCCAUUUUUUAUUUAUUUAUUUUUUUAUUUUUUUUAAUUUUUUUUUUAAAACAUCACUUUAAAGUAUGUGAGUGUCCAGAUUAUUUGUAUUCUAAUAAAUUAAAAGUUCUGAAAAAAUAAAAAGACAUACCAGAAAUAUUCAUGUAUAUUACCAUUGAAUAGAUGAAAAAAACCCUGAUCUUUUAAAGUUUUAAGCUGU
Saccostrea cuccullata (small rock oyster) is the source of this 1331-nucleotide long non-coding RNA. RefSeq lists it as uncharacterized. The record is from RefSeq and is a predicted model, not a curated record. The transcript has 6 exons. Lineage: Eukaryota; Metazoa; Mollusca; Bivalvia; Ostreida; Ostreidae.